GCGGAGGUGGCUCAGUGGUAGAGCACAUACUUGCAUGUUUGAAACCCCGGGUUCAAAUUCUGGCAUCAUCA
Molecule: transfer RNA, 71 nt
Filed under: Xenopus laevis (African clawed frog)
Lineage: Eukaryota; Metazoa; Chordata; Amphibia; Anura; Pipidae
Rfam family: tRNA
About the family: Transfer RNA (tRNA) molecules are approximately 80 nucleotides in length.
Source: Rfam by way of RNAcentral